This 253-nucleotide ribosomal RNA is filed under the name uncultured bacterium. RNAcentral's name for it is "partial 16S ribosomal RNA". It matches the Rfam family "Bacterial small subunit ribosomal RNA", at positions 524 to 776 of the family's 1533-position model. The record is from RNAcentral.
UACGAAGGGGGCUAGCGUUGCUCGGAAUCACUGGGCGUAAAGCGCACGUAGGCGGCUUUUUAAGUCAGGGGUGAAAUCCUGGAGCUCAACUCCAGAACUGCCUUUGAUACUGAAGAUCUUGAGUUCGGGAGAGGUGAGUGGAACUGCGAGUGUGGAGGUGAAAUUCGUAGAUAUUCGCAAGAACACCAGUGGCGAAGGCGGCUCACUGGCCCGAUACUGACGCUGAGGCACGAAAGCGUGGGGAGCAAACAGG